Molecule: long non-coding RNA, 4551 nt
Organism: Labrus mixtus (cuckoo wrasse)
Lineage: Eukaryota; Metazoa; Chordata; Actinopteri; Labriformes; Labridae
Exons: 2
Source: RefSeq, a predicted model, not a curated record
CAAUAAUUAAACAAUUUUUUUUUGCCCUACAGAAACAAAUUGAAUCUAAAAAACUGCCUUUUACAUAGAACUUCUAACAAAAUGUAUGCAUGAAACUGGAAAUAUUCAGCAAUAUAAAUAAUCAUUACGUCUUAUUUGUAGCUAAAAGGCUCAAACUUGCAGAACCAGCGUAAUGAUCCUUUAAGUCAACGUCACUGCUGCUGUGAAGGUGGGUUAUUCUCGUGGCCUACCUCUCGAUUAAGGCAAUACAAGGCAAUAUGUAUAAAUAAUUUAAUUUUCAAGAGUAAAUAUAUUUAUUUAACAUUAUUUAAUUUAUAUACAGAAUAUAUGACGUUCUUUGUUUUUGUAUUUUAAAGAUUUUAUUUAUUGUUUUUGCUUUCUUGGUUUCUUGGGGAAAAAACUGCAGUUUGAGUUGACAAGCUGUUUAUUUCAUGUGACGUUGACUGCACAGACUGUUUAUUUUUCAUGACUUUAACUGAAUAUUUCUCACUGUGAACAGAGCUCGGUGCCACACCAGCUCCCCAAAGCUUCACAUUGUCAAGACACACUGUGGACUGAUGUCAGCAACUCUUUGUUUGGGACUACAACCGAGCUUCUUUUGAGUGUGUUGAAGGAUAUUGACAUUUCUACCAAAUAAUUCAAAUCGACAAGUAGUUUGGGACUUGUACAGUUUCAGUAGCAUGCAUGUUCACGGCAGAGUUAACUGUAAUGAGGGCAUUUCCACACAAUCGAUGCACAAUAAUCGUAUUGAAGAGAGUGAACUUGAUGACAAGCUGUAGCAAACACUUGACCAAACUCUUUCCGUCAGAGGCUCUGGACUGUUUUGGUUCUAAACAGGGUCGUAGCUAUUUUUUAGAAACGCUAAAUCACAAGUGAAAGUCCCUAAAUCCCAUAAAAAUGAACUAACAGCUCUUUGUUUAUAUGUUCUACUGGUUCAACAUAACACGAGUAGAAAAUGUAAUAGCUGUUAGUUAAUCUUAAAGCAGCGGUUGUUUUCCAGGAAUAGUUUUGGAUGUGCGCCCGUUUGUGUUCUUGCUAAGAGAUGAGAAGGUUAAAUGCUUCUGUUAGUGCUAAAGUUACAUUGCAGUUAGCUUAUAGAUUGAUGCAAGACCAGUAUCUGGCCCGGAGAACCUCCGGGUGAAGUCCAUGCGAAAAAUUUGGCUGUUUGCGUUCACAUAAACAGCCCCUCCUGGUAUUAUCCGGGGAGAUUUCCGUAUGUGUGAAAAGGGUUCAUGAGGAUUUUUUUCUGUCUACAUUCGCACCGUCAUGGUACCUACAGUACUCUGAAGCAGUAGCUAAAAAGGUUCCUCUCUACGGGGUUCUAGGAACUCAAAUAGCUCAAAGUUCCUGCGGUGCGGGAUGAAUAAAAAAAGAGGAGGGUUCCAGCGGUUCCUAGAAAUAUGAAAAAGUUCCUGCGGUGCGAAAACGCCUAAUUUUAAGCCAAACUCACUGUUUCCAGUCUUCAUGCUAAGCUAAGCUAAGCUGAUUAGCUGCUGGCUGUAGCCCACAGAUACGACCGUGAUGAAGCUCUUCUAAUUCAACUCUAUGCUAGAACCAAAACAAAACAUUGAAAUGUACUGAAAUGGAACAGCUGCCAAUACAUUCAACAAGCAACUACGACAACUGUAACAUGCUGCCAGGAUUCAAGUGGAAAAAGAUUGAAUGUUAAUGGAUCGAUAAGGGAUUGAGAAUGUCAGUGUCUUGACUUUUAAAACCAAACUUCCUCCGCUAUAAGUUUGGAUAUAUAUUGGAGACAUACGUAGUACUUUUUGCAUAGAUUUGACCUCUUAUGACAACAUAAUGUAAAAACAUUCCUCACUUGUUUUUUUUGUUUUGUUUUUUUUGCUGUGGACAGAUCUAACUCUUGCGAGAGAGAAUGUUUUUUGGAUGCUUAUCAAUUUAAGACAAACUGUACAGUAGCUCACAUUAGGUACAAAUGCUGAACUAGAAGGUAUAUGAAUAGUAUUGUCGGAGCGAGCUACCUAGCCUAGCCGCCUAGCUCAUUGUCGCACUUUUCCAUGCACAGGCAUUAUUUCACUCUUUCUGAAUUGCUGUUGGGAUGCAAAGGCUCUGAUCCUCGUGUCUUCAUGUUCACUUGACAGAUUUCUAACUCUGCAAGAAAACAAGUGAGCGUAUUUCCCCCCCACACACAUGUUGAGCUUUUCCUUUAACCUGUGCAUCACACGUGUGUUUGUUAACCUUUAAACUCUCAGUAAGAGCGGGGUUAAGGAUUGACACUUGAAUACUGAAAACACUCGCAGCACAAUAACUUUUAACGGACUACAAACAUUCUUGCAUGUCCACACUCUGGUGGUGUUAACCCUGUCUUAUCCCACAGCUGAAUGUGGUGUGAAAACCCUCCUGUUGUCCCCCCGUCACUGGGUAGCGCUCCUCACAGAUUUACGUCAGCAAAACAGGGGUUUAUUCAUAUACACUUAAAACAUUGUAAAGUCCAUUUAUCGUGUAUGUAAAUUUAUGCUGAAUCUUUUCACAUGAGGACUUGUAGGACGUUUGGUUGUUUUCCAGAGGACCGAGAAGCAGAGAUAAAGAGAUUACACUGAAGACGACUGUAGCAGCUCACUCCUCGCUCCGUGUGUGUGUGUGUGUGUGAGCUCACGUUUAAGCUGCUAGCAUGUAAUCUACCUAUUUUUGUUAUCCUGUGUAUGCAGUGACACUGAAACAAUCUGACUGUAAAGAUGAACUAUUUUGCUGAUGAUAUAGUGAUUUAUUUAAAAAAGGUAUAAAGAAGAACAACUGUUGUAUAAGCUAGCACUGAUUUGAACUUUGAACCUGUGAGUUAUUUAAGACUUUUUACUUGGGUCUAAAGAAAAGGGAAUACUCCGUUUAUAGGGGGGGGUUGAUUUCCAAACUGAGAAGCUGGAUUAACAAGAAGGCAAAUAAGCCGUCUACUCCGAUCAUCUAAAAACCCAAAGGUUCAAAGCUGGUGUGUUGUAAAAAAAUAUUUAUUUAAAAAAAAGAUGACUGGGGGAUAUGCACUUUUUAAUCCCUAAAUGAACUGCUAAGGGUAUAAAGGAUGUUUAUUUUCUUACCUGAGGAGAAUCCUGAAGCAAAAUCUAGUUGAGGAUUUUCGUUAUUGCAGCACUUUCUCGCUUUGAACUGGUUAAAAAAAAAAAUGGCGGCUUUGUCUGUGGCCAAACGCUUCAAAAUAUAACAAUCUUGUUACCCUUCUAGCUUUUUGUUUUUGGUGUUCUGGUUGCAGUUGUGUAAAAAUACAGGUUUUUGAAUCUAAGAGACAGACAAACAUGUUCAAGGUUGACUUCUUUAUUGACUAAUUUUCUAAAUUCCAUAACAUAUUCUAGUAAUUUAACGCAGGGACAGUUUCUCACAGACAGAGCAGGAUAUUAUGUAAGGUCAUUAGCUUGAUGCUAACACAUAAUAGAUUUUGCCACACAUUGGCUAACAAGAUUGGCAUUACAUUUGUGCUCAUUCUAAUGUGAGAAGAAAUUAAUUUUACGUCAUGAUAUCAGAAGAUGAGAUUGUUUCCUUAUAGGUGCCAAGCAGGUUUCAGUCUGUAACUCUACAGUUCUGUUAUUGGUCCAAAAUCGGUGGUCUGUGGGCCGCAUGCAUUAAGCCCAAAUGAUCCAAAACCAACACCAGAGGGGGUCUUAUACUGUCAUAUUUUGAAGCGUAGAGCCACUGACUUAGCUGCUGUUUUUGAUGAGUUUUUUUGUGAGUAUAUUUUAUUUAGUUUUUGUGCUUACAUGUUGCAUGUUAUUUAAUUUAUUUGCUUUUUACCAAAUAACCACACAGCAAACCUGGGGCUGUGCACAAUUCAAGCAUGCACAGUGCACAGUGCACAGAGAGGAGAUGUGGGGGCCUUAUGGGGGGCCCAGCAGCUUAUUUAACCCCAGGACCCCCGGACUUGUUGAAUCCGGCCGUGGAGAAAAUACCUGAAACCAACAUUUUAUUCAGCAGGACUACAACAAAGGGAAAAACUGCUAUUGAACGCAAAUAUUCAUGACGUGGACGUAGCCUUACCCUGGAGUGGAAGAAAACUUAGACCUGCCUGCUGGUUCAUUUAGGUCUCAUGUAGCAAUUGGUCUUUUACUGCAGGUUUCAAGUGAAGCCACUGGUUGGCUGUGUGACUACCAGUCUGUGCACUGGGGGAAAUGUGAAAACAAAUGUUCUAAAUAUUAAUGUUGUAUUUAUUGUAAACAUUGUAUUGAUUGUUGCUGUUGAUUUUGUUUCUUUUUGUUAAAAGGCGUGCACCCGAGGGUGUGUGUGUGUGGUUCUGUGAAAACGGGCUUCCAGCUUUUAUUGGGUUAAUCCACCCAGAAACACUGUGUUCAGUUCCCUGAUUGCUGUUUGUGUUAUGUUUGACUGUAAAUACUCUGUACAUUGAGAGAUGACAUGCUGAAAGAGUUGUUGAAAAUAGAUCUAUUUAUAACAAAAGAUGAAAUGUUAUUUCAACUUCCAGUUACACUUUAUGUAAAGGUACAUACUGAUCAUUAAUAGUUGCCUAUAGUUACAUAUAUAAGUAGUAUAAUUGUUGCUAUAUAGGUCAUUAUAAAGCACUUAUUAAUGCCUUAU